Molecule: ribosomal RNA, 325 nt
Filed under: uncultured Planctomycetota bacterium
Lineage: Bacteria; Pseudomonadati; Planctomycetota
Description: bacterial SSU rRNA
Rfam family: Bacterial small subunit ribosomal RNA
Source: RNAcentral
AAUGAACGUUGGCGGCGUGGAUUAGGCAUGCAAGUCGAGCGCGAACCAGUCUUCGGACUGGGGAGAGCGGCGAACGGGGUAGGAAUACCUCGGUGACGUACCCCCGGGUCGGGGAUAGCGGCGGGAAACUGCCGGUAAUACCCGAUAAUCUGCCCAGGUUUUACGACAGGGGCAGCAAAGGUGUGAUUCCGUCUGGGGAGCGGCUGAGGUCGUAUUAGCUGGUUGGUAGGGUAACGGCCUACCAAGGCGAUGAUGCGUCGGGGGUGUGAGAGCAUGGCCCCCCACACUGGCACUGAGACACUGGCCAGACACCUACGGGAGGCUG